This is a long non-coding RNA of Pipra filicauda (Wire-tailed manakin), 1668 nucleotides long. RefSeq lists it as uncharacterized. Lineage: Eukaryota; Metazoa; Chordata; Aves; Passeriformes; Pipridae. The transcript is spliced from 3 exons. The record is from RefSeq and is a predicted model, not a curated record.
UCCCUGGGGCUGCGGGCACCCCUCCUCGCCCAUGCCGGGCAGGGCUCGCCCCACGCCCGGCAGGGCAGUCGGACCCCCGGGCCGCCCCGCCGGCGGGGCCCGCACGCCCCGCUCGCCUCACCCGCCCGGCCGAGCCGCGGCCCAGACGCACCUGCGGGACCGCUGGGGUGGGGAAGGGGCGCCGCCAGCGCUGUGCUCCGGCGGGGGGUCCCCGUGCCCAGGCCCCCCGCCAGCCCCCUCUGCCGGGCCGGGCAUGGGCUCAGGCCGCGGGGCCGGGGGGCGGCGGGGCCGGAGCCGGAGCCGGAGGCAGCGGCGCCCGCUCCCGGCCGGGCGCCGAGCGGGGCCUGGCGGCCGUGCUCCAUCCCCAGCGGGCAGGCCGAGCCCCUCACUCCCUCAGGAUCCACCGGGAGGCACAAGCAGCCUGGCAACGGCUCGCCCGGGGCUGGGGAGGGGGAGUGUGUAACACACAGGUGUUUCCCGAGGUUUCCCUGAACGGACCUCUGCGAAAAUCCACGUCGCAGGAGCAAGAGGUGCUCCCACACUCCCCUUUGCAGCUUUGGUUUGGUUUAAAAAUAACCAGAACAAAGCAAAAAACAAACAAACAAAAAACCCAAACAAACAAAAAGCCCAAAUGGCAUUAGUUCUUGCAAGCUCCAUGACCACGUUUAAAGACAAAUGUCACUGACAUUCAUAUUUGUAACUCCAUCGAAACCCCACCAAUUACAGGACUGGAAAUCUCCCAAGCACGGCAAUAGCCCCAGAUAAGGUUCAGAAACAAUCUGAAUGUCUAGAACUUGAGCAGAUGUGAAGAAAUGAGACCCUUCUUCUCCAGCGCCCCUGCACAGGAUCGUCUCAGAGUCAAGCAUGCAAGCCAGAAGGCAACAUCUUUCCUUCCAUGAAGACUACUGGCAUAUAACUGCACUAUUUUAGUUCUGCAUUAUGGCUGGAGAUGUUUUCAGACUUUUCUCUUUAUUGAACGAUGAAACGCUUCAUUCAAUUCAGGAAAAUGACCGAUCUUGGCGAUUGCUUACAGCACAGAGAGCAAGCAGCCACUCAUCCUUUUUUUUUCCCCUGCAACUCUGCUGCUCGUCCAGCAGGGGGAGAUGCAGGAACAAGGAGCCAGUUUCUCUCAACGUCUAAAGAAAAAGACCUGGGAUCAUUUGUCAGGACAGUUCUCCUUUGUCUAAGCUACUGUACAACAGGUCAAAUACAAGACAUUUAUGAGACACUUAUUUACUAUCUUAGUUUAGUCUUCGUUUUGCAGAGGAGUGAAAGGUCUAUCAAGUAAUUAGACAGUGUUUUCCAGGCCCUGGUAUUGAGUGCUCAUCAAUAGUAAAUCUUCUGAGUUUCAGCUGUCAGUCAUUAAUAACUGAGUGCAUGUUUGAGCUGUGCAAAUCCAGGUAAAAGAGACAUAAAUGUGGUUGAAAGAGAAAGUAUAGAUUUGUUUAGCUUUUUAUUACUUAGUGCAGUAUUUUUAAGCAAACAGACUAGUGCAACUAAGCAAAGGAAACUGAAAUGGCAGCCUAAAUUAAUUGACUAUGCAUGAUAAUAGCUAUUUAACUAUGGAUAAAAGGAAGUUUAGCUAUCUAUUCAGCAUGUAAUUUUUCCUGUACCUUACCAGUGUGUUGGUCUGUUUCAUUACUAAAAUGUAUUCUUCAUGCUGUUGUA